Molecule: ribosomal RNA, 550 nt
Filed under: uncultured bacterium
Lineage: Bacteria
Description: bacterial SSU rRNA
Rfam family: Bacterial small subunit ribosomal RNA
Source: RNAcentral
CCUACGGGAGGCAGCAGUUGGGAAUCUUGCGCAAUGGGGAAACCCUGACGCAGAACGCCGCGUGCGGACGAAGGCCUUCGGUUGUAAACCGCUUUCAGCAGGAAGAAGUUGACGGUACCUGCAGAAGAAGCCCCGGCUAACUACGUGCCGGCAGCCGCGGUAACACGUAGGGGGCGAGCGUUAUCCGGAUUCAUUGGGCGUAAAGCGCGCGUAGGCGGCCCGCCAAGCAGAACCUCUAACCCCGGGGCCCAACCCCGGGCCGGGUUCUGGACUGGCGGGCUCGAGUCCGGUAGAGGAAGGCGGAAUUCCCGGUGUAGCGGUGAAAUGCGCAGAUAUCGGGAAGAACACCGAUGGCGAAGGCAGCCUUCUGGGCCGCGACUGACGCUGAGGCGCGAAAGCUGGGGGAGCGAACAGGAUUAGAUACCCUGGUAGUCCCAGCCGUAAACGAUGGAGCUAGGUGUGGGGGAUGACCCUCCGUGCCGAAGCCAACGCAUUAAGCGUCCCGCCUGGGGAGUACGGCCGCAAGGCUAAAACUCAAAGGAAUUGACGG